UUAAAUUGAAGAGUUUGAUCAUGGCUCAGAUUGAACGCUGGCGGCAGGCCUAACACAUGCAAGUCGAACGGUAACAGGAAGCAGCUUGCUGCUUCGCUGACGAGUGGCGGACGGGUGAGUAAUGUCUGGGAAACUGCCUGAUGGAGGGGGAUAACUACUGGAAACGGUGGCUAAUACCGCAUAACGUCGCAAGACCAAAGAGGGGGACCUUCGGGCCUCUUGCCAUCAGAUGUGCCCAGAUGGGAUUAGCUUGUUGGUGAGGUAACGGCUCACCAAGGCGACGAUCCCUAGCUGGUCUGAGAGGAUGACCAGCCACACUGGAACUGAGACACGGUCCAGACUCCUACGGGAGGCAGCAGUGGGGAAUAUUGCACAAUGGGCGCAAGCCUGAUGC
This 394-nucleotide ribosomal RNA is filed under the name Salmonella enterica subsp. enterica serovar Derby. Its description in RNAcentral is "bacterial SSU rRNA". It matches the Rfam family "Bacterial small subunit ribosomal RNA", at positions 1 to 389 of the family's 1533-position model. Lineage: Bacteria; Pseudomonadati; Pseudomonadota; Gammaproteobacteria; Enterobacterales; Enterobacteriaceae. The record is from RNAcentral.